CAAGUCGUGCGAGAAAGAUCUUCGGAUAUGAGUAGAGCGGCGGACGGGUGAGUAACGCGUAGGAAUCUACCUAGUAGAAGGGGAUAGCCCGGGGAAACCCGGAUUAAUACCGUACACCUCCUUCGGGAGAAAGAAGGCCUCUCUCUGAAGCUUUCGCUACUAGAUGAGCCUGCGUAAGAUUAGCUUGUUGGUGAGGUAAAGGCUCACCAAGGCUACGAUCUUUAGCUGGUUUGAGAGGACGAUCAGCCACAUUGGGACUGAGACACGGCCCAGACUCCUACGGGAGGCAGCAGUGGGGAAUAUUGGACAAUGGGCGCAAGCCUGAUCCAGCCAUACCGCGUGUGUGAAGAAGGCCUUCGGGUUGUAAAGCACUUUAAGCAGGGAGAAAAAGUUAUAAGUUAAUACCUUAUAACCCUGAUGUUACCUGCAGAAUAAGCACCGGCUAAUUCCGUGCCAGCAGCCGCGGUAAUACGGAAGGUGCAAGCGUUAAUCGGAAUUACUGGGCGUAAAGCGCGCGUAGGUGGUUUGUUAAGUUGGAUGUGAAAGCCCUGGGCUCAACCUAGGAACUGCAUCCAAAACUAACUCACUAGAGUACGAUAGAGGGAGGUAGAAUUCAUAGUGUAGCGGUGGAAUGCGUAGAUAUUAUGAAGAAUACCAGUGGCGAAGGCGGCCUCCUGGAUCUGUACUGACACUGAGGUGCGAAAGCGUGGGUAGCGAACAGGAUUAGAUACCCUGGUAGUCCACGCCGUAAACGAUGACAACUAGCUGGUUGGGAGACUAUGC
RNAcentral lists this ribosomal RNA (783 nucleotides) under uncultured marine bacterium. Its description in RNAcentral is "bacterial SSU rRNA". It matches the Rfam family "Bacterial small subunit ribosomal RNA", at positions 58 to 836 of the family's 1533-position model. The record is from RNAcentral.